CAGCUCAGCACCUGCCCGUCCUUCCUUCACUCCUUGCAGCCAGCAGGGCUCUACACCAGCUCUUCUCCUUCCUACGAGGGGGCGGAUUCUUCACAGGAGAGAAGAAACACCUACAGGGGAGAAAGCACAAGAGACACUGACCACAGCUCCGCCUGCUCCGUGACCGGGUUCGGCUUCGCAGCAGCAGAGCAUGAAGGGGCUUGUUGGGAACGGGCAACGGAGCCGGGCCGUGCUGCGUGAGAGAGCCUGCCUCACUUAAAUCCUCACACUGUCACCACUGAAAUGUUGCUACAGAGACCUAGGAAUUCCCCGAGCAUUUGAUUUCAAGGGGUUAUUUCACAGGUAAGGAAUGCAACCCUGUGCCUCCAUCACACAUCUCCUUCCCCCCCAGCAAGGCACAGCCAGCCGCUCUGUCCUUGCCAGGCUGCGGUUCCACGGGGCGCUGGCUGAGCAGUUCCUUACCCAGGCGCUGUGCACCUCCCAUCCCUGCCCCGUGCCGCAGCGAGCAGGUCGCCACCUGGAGAUGCCUGCGGAGCCUCCUGCCUGCCCAGCUACAGGUUUGCACUUGGAGUGCCCUAAUUACUGCGUGCAUGGGCAGAUCUGGGCAGUGCCGUGGGUGUACCUGCAUUCAAGUGAUGUAGGUUAACAGCGAGCUGCGCUGGAUGGGUGCUCGGGGAUCUGGGCAAACUAUUCAAAGAAAGCGUCUGAUGAAUUAGCCAAUGUUUUUGUUUGUGGAUGAUCCCCCAGAAAAGCAGCAAAACCUCCAGUUCUUAGCAAUGUGUUUGUUACUCAAAAUUACUCCGUGAAUCACUUAUGACUGAGCACAGAUUGCAGUUUCUUGUGUCCUGUUUGUGUUUUUAUCUCUGAGCCCUGGCUGGCCCUAAUUUUGCUUGUGCUGAGUGGUUGAGUUCAGUCUUCCAAGUCCAUACAGAGCAUCACUCUUUUAUUCCGUGAAGUUUUUU
Molecule: long non-coding RNA, 962 nt
Organism: Numida meleagris (helmeted guineafowl)
Lineage: Eukaryota; Metazoa; Chordata; Aves; Galliformes; Numididae
Exons: 3
Source: RefSeq, a predicted model, not a curated record